RNA transcript from Leopardus geoffroyi (Geoffroy's cat), 1540 nucleotides. RefSeq lists it as uncharacterized. The transcript is spliced from 3 exons. The record is from RefSeq and is a predicted model, not a curated record. NCBI's taxonomy places the organism in Eukaryota, Metazoa, Chordata, Mammalia, Carnivora, Felidae.
UUUUUUUAAAAAUACCAGUUCCUUAUUCCUGGAGCCUAAAUAGUUCAUCAUUUUCUUGCUGUCUUCUUGCCCUCCUGCAGUGGGUUGAACGAUGUUCUUCCCCAACCUCCCCACCCCGCCAAAGACAGGACUACAAAUAAUUAAGGAUCUCAAGAAAAGAUCAUUCUGGAUUACCCAAAUUGCCACUAACUCCAAUGACAAACGAGUAUCCUUCAAAGAGACAGGAGAACAGCAGAGGGGAACACGCAGAGGAGAGGGGGCCACGUGAAGACAGAGGCAGAGGUCGGAACAAGGCAGCCACGAGGCGAGGAAGGCUUGGGGCCACCGGAAGCUGGAAGAGGCAAAGAAGCGUCCUUCCCCAGAGCCUUCGGAGGGAGCGCGGCCAUGCUGACCCCUCAAUUUGGGACCUGAAGCCUCCAGAACAGUGGGAGAAGACAUUUCUGUUGCUCCAAGCCACCAAGUUUGUGGUAAUUUGCUACAGAGGUCCUAAGAGACCCAGACACCGACGCACAGACACGCACACACACGGUUCUGCCCCCCAAAAGAAUUCUAGAAAGAAAACUGAGUAGGGAGAAAUACCCAUAUCCUGGUACUUCAGCUUGUGAAAACCUCGCGUGCGCAGAAAAGCCCCGUCUUCCCUACCUGAGGGAGGGAUCCCUGGGAGGGAUUGAUUCUCUCCAAGUCUCUUUCUUUGCUCCCUCUCCCGGGUCAGAGAAAGGCCGCUGGAUUCCCUCAGCUGCUUUAAACAGUUGCCCGCUUGUUUUGCUUCCAAACUCACGUGCUCUCUCAAUCACAGGGGAGCCUGGCUGAACAAAGCCUGACAUGUCCUAGCUCUUGGGUCUGUGCCUGGAAUCGACAACCCUCACCAGGCAGGCUGAACAAAACUCCCAGGAUGUCCCCGCAGAAUUCCCUCGGCUGCCUGGCUGUGGCCCUCCCUUCCUUCCCUCCCCUGAAGACAGCACGGCGUGUCUGGAGGCUCCAUGGUGAGCGAAGAAUGUUCUCCAAGUGGAAUCACACAGGCUGCCUCCAUAGCCCUGGUGGCUUCGGGAGGUCAAGGCCAAGGGCCCUCUCGAUGCGCUGACCUCCAGGCCUGACCACCGUAGUGUUCCAAGGGGGACUUCAGAUCUUGGCACGCUCCGUGGGUACACCAGUUCCUGUGAACUGAGACGUCCGUGUAGUUUGGAACGAAAGGGCAUCAUGCUUUCGUGGUAGAGGUGGUGACCUUCCACAGCGGGGACGUUACCAGCCAAGUUAUCAACACAACCGGAAUGGAAUCUCUCUCCAGCUUCAGGUUUGAUAUAAUGAACUACAUGGGAGUGAGACAUCGUGUGUUUCUACCUCUAAAAUGUUUGAAUCAGCAAGUGUCCUUGUAAAUAAGAAGUUGACUUUUCGAGAGGAUUUUAUCACGAACACGCGUAUUGCAAACGCAUUUCCUUUAUUACGCCUUAACAGAAGACCCAACUGAUAUUAAUGAUUUUCCUACUUCAUAUCCCACGAGUUGUAUGGCAACCGCGAAACAGGGUCAGGAUAAAAUGAGAAG